RNAcentral lists this long non-coding RNA (16644 nucleotides) under Homo sapiens (human). The record is from RNAcentral. Lineage: Eukaryota; Metazoa; Chordata; Mammalia; Primates; Hominidae.
UAAAAACAGUAUUGCUUUUUUUUUGCUUUCUUUUUCUUUAUUUCUUCUAAAAGAAAAAGAAUGGGAUACAUGUGCAGAACGUGCAGGCUUGUUACAUAGGUACAUGUGUGCCACCGUGGUUUGCUGCACCUAUUGACCCGUCCUCUACGAUCCCUCCCCUCACCUCCCACCAUCGAACAGCCCCUGGUGUAUGUUGUUUCCCCGUGUCCCUGUGUUCUCAAUAAAAACAUUAUUUCAAAGGAAAUUUAUGGUCUUAAGUUUUUAAUGUUAUAUGAAAUGUUUACAACAGGGAAAUCUAUAGAGACAGAAAGUAAAGUAAUAGUUGAAAGGAGUGGCAGAGGCAAGUUGAAGAGUGACAACUCAUAGGUGCAGGGUUUCUGUUUGGAGUGAUGAAAAUAUUCUACAAUUCAUUGUGGUGAUGGUUGCACAACUCUGCAAGCAUACAACAAAAGAUUGAAUUUUACACUUUAAAUAGGUGAAUUGUUUAGAAUGUGAAUUAUAUCUCAUAAAGCUGUUUUAAAAAUCUUAUGUUAGACUGGAAAAAAAAGGUAAGCAUUAAUGAGCUAAGCAUCCAAAUCAAAAGUUAGAAAUAGACUGAUAGAAUAAAUGUAAGAUAAUAAAAUGAAAAAGACAAGAGCAGAAAUAGAUGAAAUAGAAAAAAUACAUUUGAUAGAAUUUUAAAAAUUGAAAAAUUGGUCCUCAAAAGAUAUAAUUUAAAAAGCAAGCCUUUGAUGAGACCAAUCAAGAAAAAAGGUGAAAAUAAACAAUAUUAGCAGUAAACAAGAGGACACAAUAAUGAAUAUGCAGUGAUUUUAACAGAUAAGAGAAUACCAUAAUUAACUUUAUGACAAUGAAUUCGAAAAUGUGGAUGAAAUGGAUACAUUAUUUGAAAAAUAAGACUUGCCAAAAUUGGCUCAGAAAGAAACAGAGAAUCCAAAGGGUCCUAUAACCACGGAAAACAAUUAAAUCAGUAGUUUAAAAGUUCCCUGCCCCUCUCCUCAGAAAAAUAGACCCAGAUGUAACAGAUAAAGUCCAAUCUUAUACAAGCUCUUCUAUAGCCUAGAAAUAAGUAAUGUUGUUCAAUGCAUUUUAUGAGCCAAAUAUCUUUUAUAUUAAAACUGACAAGAUCAGUAUAAAAAAUGAAAUUUCAAACAAGUCUCAAAAUAUAAAUGUGAAAAUCUUAAACAAAAUACCAGCAAGUAGAAUCCAGCAAUGUAUUUUAAAAAGUCAUGAUCAGAAUGGUAACGCAGAGCUGGCUUAACAUUUUAAAAAAUCUAUCAAAGCUUAAUUGAUACAUUCUAACACUAUAUGGAAAUAUAAAGACCCAACAAGAGCUACAUCAAUUUGGAAACAAAGGAUAGAGUGGAGACUUACCCUACUGGAUAGUAAGAUACACUGUAUGUGUCAGUCAGGGUAACAAUAUGCUAUACUGAAGUAACAAAUGAACCUCAAAACCUCAGUGAAGUAAACAAAGGUUUAUUUCCUAUUUACGUAAAAUUUAAUGAUUAGGCAGCUCUCCAGUCUUCCAUGCAGUUACUCAGGAACCUAAGGCUUCUUCCAUCUUGUGGUUCCUCCAUCUAAACACACAGCCUUUUACACCAGUUUUAAAUAACCUUGACCCAGAAAUAAUAAACAUUACUUUGCUUGUAGUGUGUAGUCCAGAUAGUCAUAUGACCUCAAUCUAACUGCAAGGCAAGCUAGGAAAGUAAGUACAAAAAUCAUUUGGUGAGUACCAGCUCUCCCUGCCGUAUCAUAGUAACAAAAGUAAUAUGGAAGAGAUAAAUACAUAAAUGGAAACGUUUAGAGACAGACUUAAGUAGAUACAGAAAAAAUAGGCAGCACAAAUCAAUGGAGAAAGGAUGGACGGUAUAAUACAUGUUAUUGGAAAGACUAGUUCACUAUUUGAAGAAAAAUAAAGCUGGAACCCUCCUUAGCACCAUGUAUAAAUCUAGACUACAGAGAAUAAAAUAAAUUUGAAAGCUAAAAUUAUGAAGUUAAUAGAUGAUGAUAUAGGAAAAAAUCUUUGUGGCCUAGAAUUAGAUAACAAUUUCUUAAACAAAACCUCAGAAGUAGAUGCCAUAAGACACAAAAGAUUAAUAGAUUUGAUUACAUAAAAAAUAAGAAUUUCUAUUCAAUGAGAGACACCAUAAACAAAGUUAAUAGAUGACAGAGAAAAGUUAUUUACAAUACCUUUAACAAAGGAUUAAUAGCUAGCAUAUACAAAGUACUCCUGCAAAUCCAAAAGAAAAAGACAGGAAUACACUGCCUUAAAGUGACAAAAGAGGACGGACGGAUGAGGUGGCUCCUGCCUGUAAUGCCAGUGCUUUGGGAGGCCAAGGCAGAAGGAUAGCUUGAGGCCAGGAGUUGAAGACCAGCUUAGGCAACAUGGCAAGAUCUUGUUUCUACAAAAAAAAAAAAAAAAAAAAAAAAACCUAUUUUAAAAAAUUAGCUGAAUGUGAUGGUGCAUGCCUCUGGUUCCAGCUACUUGGAGCAGCUAGGCAGAAGAAUCGCUUGAGCCCAGGAGGUCAAGACUGCAGUGAGCCAUGUUUGUGCCACUGCACUCCAGCCUGGGUGACAGAGUGAGACCCUAUCUCAAAAAGUAAAAUAAAGUAAAAUAAAAUAAACUGACAAAACAUGACAAAUAUACCCAGAGGAGAUGAAAACCAAAAUGCUCAGAAAUAAAUGAAGAGAUGUUCAAACUCAUUAUUAACCAGUUAAUUGCUAAUUAAAAUUCAGUUAUAAAUCCGUUUAUACCUAUUUGGCUGGCAAAAAUUUUAAAGCUGGGACCUGCCGAUUGUUAGUGAGGGUACAAAGAUAGAGGAAUUCUAAUGCACACAGCUGAUUAGAGUUUAGACUGGAGCUGCUAUUCCAAAGAGCAAUCUGACAUACAUAAAUGAAUUAUACAUAUGCCCUAUGACUCAACAAUUCCAUUCAUUUUAUAUAUAUUCCAGAACACUUUUCAUGUAGGUCCAUAAGGGGACAUGCAUGAGGACGUUCAUCACAAUGUAUGAGGUAACAGAAAGUUGGAAGCAGUAUAGAUUUUAUUUCCUGGAAAAUGAGGAAGUAAAUUGGAGUGGAUGAAUACCAUGGUACAUUAUGCAACAGUGUGAAACUACAGACCAUGUACACAGAGUGACAUAGAUGGAUCUUUAAAAAAAUAUUACUGAGUGGGGAAAAAAGCCAGAAUAAGAUCCACAGCACCAUACUACUAUCUAAAUCCAUGCAUACAAAGUAAUGUAAGUUUUAAAAUAACUCAAACAAACAUACACAUCAAAUAAAUUAGAAGGUUGCCUUUGGGGAGGAGAUGGAAGUAAAGAAUAGAGAAGAAAGGAAACAAAUAAAGUAGUAAAUGAAUUAAUAAAGGAAAGAAAAUGGGUUUUGAUUAGACCAAUGCAGAUGGUAUGCUACGAAGGGAAGAAUAUGGUUAGUAUAAUCCUCAUCACCUAAGGUCCAAAAAAAAAGGAAGGACAGAAAUCCAUUAAUGUUGUAGUAGUAUAAAAGUCUAAACUGCUGUAAUGAAAAACUCAAAAAUUGUAUGACUUAAAAAAUAUAUUUUCAUUACCAAAAGAGUCUGAGGUUAAUGUUCCAGGUCAGCAGAGAGGCUCUGCUACACGUGGCCAUUCAGGGUCCCAGGCUCAUUCCAUCUUGUAGCUCCAUCCUUCUCUAGGUACUCAAAGUUAUCUCCAUUCAGCGGGUAGAUAGGAAAAGAGAGAGCACAAGUCAAGCAUGAGGAAGUUUCAUGAGGCAAAAUCUGGAACACAUCACUCCUGCCACAAUCCAUUGGCCAGAACUCAGUCUCAUGGUUGCACCCAAUCAUAGGGGACGUUGACCACUAUAGCUAGGCCACUAUUGACCAAUCUAGCUGGAUUCCAAGGAGUGGGCAGAAAACAUGGAUAUUGGAGAGCACUAACAGCCUCUACCACAGUUUGCAAGAGCUUUGUUGAGGGAAUUAUAAAAUGUUUUUAAGAGAUAUUAAUCAUCCAAAACGCUGAUCUCAGUGACUGCUUUUACUAGGCAAUGGUUUACAAAUGUUUUCAACCUCAUUGGUACAGUUCUCAGGGCUAGUUUGAUGCCCAAGUUUCUCUCUCCACCCUCGAUGUCCACGAUCAGUAAUGUCUUCCAUUUCCCCUGCAACUGUGUCCAUCCCCCAAAACGUGAGGGCGGAGAGGCAGGCAGGGAUUAGAAUUAGAAAAUGGACAGCAUGUCAGUAACAGAGGCAGGGAAUGAACAUGAGAUUUGUACUUCCUCAUAUUUUCACUUCCUCAUGUACUAUUACCGCCUUAAAAAAUAAGCAUCAGUGGCCAGGCGCGGUGGCUCAUGCCUGUAGUCUCAACACUUUGGGAGGCCAAGGCGGGCAGAUCACCUGAAGUCAGGAGUUCAAGACCAGCCUGGCUAGCAUGGUGAAACUCCACCUCUACUAAAAAUAUAAAAAUUAGCUGGGCGGGGUGGCACACGCCUGUAGUCCCAGCUACUCAGGAGGCUGAGGCAGGAGAAUCGCUUGAACCCUGGAGGCGGAGGUUGCCGUAAGCCUAGAUCGUGCCAAUUCACUCCAGCCUAGGUGACAGAGCGAGAGACUCCAUCAAAAAAAAAAAAGCGUCAGUAUGCAAUCAUUUUUACAAUCAGAAAAAAAAUGAAGUUAUGGUCACUGAAAAAUUAAUGAGGAAUUAAUCUGGGAAAAAUCUAUCAUAAAAAAUAUUUCUGGCCAGGUGCGGUAACUCACACCUGUAAUCCCAGCACUUUGGAAGGCCAAGGCAGGUGGAUCACUUGAGGCCAGGAGUUCGAGAGCAGCCUGGCCCACAUGGCGAAACCCUGUCUCUAGUAAAUAUACAAAAAUUAUCCGGGGAUAGCAGUGCACACCUGUAAUCCCAGCUACUCAUUAGGCUGAGGCAGGAGAAUCGCUUGAACCUAGGAGGUGGAGUUUGCAGUGAGCCAAAAUGGCACCACUGUACUCUAGCCUGGGUAAGAGUGAGGGAGACUCAGUCUAAAAAAAAAAAAAAAAAAAAAAAAAAAAAAAAAAAAAGUCCAAUUUAAGAGGGAGGAAGUGCCUUAGCACAAUUACGUUUUAUGAAUGUAUUGCUUUUCUGCACAAGAAGAGUUUAUAAACAUGCUAAGGUAUUUGAUAAGGUGAUUGGUAAGGUUUUUGAUAAGGUAUUUAGAAGGAUUAGACUGAAUCCUUCUAAACAAUGAAAUUUAACUCUGAGCAAAGGGAAGAGCUGUGAGAUUGAUGCUGCAAGGUAUGAGGAAUGCAGAGAUGGUCCUAUCCUUUCUGCCCAGUCAAGAUAGGGGGAAGGUGCUGCCCCCAUCCCCUCUCAUAUUUCAGAACGUCUCAUUUCCUGCAUAUGGGCACCUGACUCUUGCUCACUCCAAAAAUAUACCUGGACAGAUGACCAAGGUGGUGACCUGAGUAAAUGCUUUUGGAUCCUUCCCUCCUCCCUCUCCUAAAUUUCCACAGGGGUAACCCAGCCCCAGCAGAGAAGGGAGCACUGUUCCUGCCACUGGAAACCAGAACUCAUGCCUUCUAGACCCUUGCAGCUGAGGGUGUCCAUGAGGCCUGGAGAAGUGAUUGCUGGGGGAGUGUCCCUAGCCAUCUCCCUGCUCUCUGCCCUUAUUCACAGUGUCUGAGUGGAAGCCUCCCUGGACCCUAUCUGCUGCCUCCCACCUAUCAUGAGCAGUGCAGUCUGGUGGGCCUUUCAUGCCCAAAAUCUGCAUCUCCAGGGAAUCUAGGGAACCUAGCUUUGCUGCCUUUCAGUCACCUUCCUCCCUAGUGGCCCUUCAGCCAGGCUAAGGACAGUGUCCAAGAAACUCUCACCUACUGACCAUACUGAUUAACCUAGACCAGGUGUUCUCAACUGGAUAAGUCUAUAAACUCCUGGAAAUUGUAUACAAGGUUGUGUAUUGGGAGUGAGGGGAAGGUGCAUAUAAGUUUUCCAGGUGAGCGGCUAUAAGCUAUAAUUAUUAACAUGUUUUUAAUGGGAAGUAUAACCCUAAAUAUAUUAAAAACCACUGGCCCAGAAGGUCUAUGUUUAUAUUUGUUCUAAAUAGGAUGAUUUUCAUUUUUUAAUAGUAAAACUAAUAUAGUCAUUGUAAAAAUGUCAAACAACGCAGAAAUGUAUUGUAUUCAUUCAUUCACUUAAUAAGUCUCUAUUGAGCACCUAUGCAAGGCAUUGAGAAUACAAUGGUAGGAAAAACAGACUAGGUCUUUGUAUUCAUGAAGCUCACAGAUUAGUGGGGUAUAUACAUUAAUCAAAUAAUCACAUGAGUGUAUGGAUAAUUAUAAUUCCACAUAAAUACAAAGAAGGAAUGGAACACAGGUAUGUAUAUGAGUAUAUUGCUGCAGAUCAAGACAUACUCUGAGGGGCUAAAAAGGGAACAAAGAAAACUUCCCUAAGGAAGUAAAAUUUGAGAGGAAAUAAGGAAAAGUAUAAUUACUAGGCAAAGAGGAUAAUAUAAAUGUCUGGUAAUCAUACAUCCUGCAGAAUGCCAUAGCUAACACAUAUGUGUAAUUGGAAUAAAUCACAGUCCACAAACCCAAGUGUAUAAAACAUCCAGCUUUUAUUUUCUAUAGCAAUACUCAUAAUUUAUAUUUUGUCUUCUCAUCCCAUUGUUGUGCUGAAAUGGAAUCAAUUUAGGAUCUGCUGCAUUUUCCGUGGUGUGUCUAAGAUCAAAGAUGCUUACAAAGCACCUUAGAGUUGUUGGAGGAGGUCCACAUGAUUCUAGUAAUACUGCUCUACAUAAUUCACCAUUUUCAUUCCUUCCUCAGGACCUCUUCAAAUAUUGUAGCUCUCUAUUUUGCUUGUGUCGACCUUGAAUGAUCAAGACUUUCUGUGUUGCUUCCCUGCCUUUGCUAUGCUGAGAUACAGAAAACUUCGUUAGACUCUAUACUAUAUGUCUGGAAGCAAUGUAAAGCAGCAAUGCUUCAGGUAUCUCUUAACAGGUAUGACAUGUCACCUACACAAUUUAAUCCAACAAAACUGUCCAGCGAACUUCCAGUCAACAGCAGACUGAAGUGAGUUGGAAAGCUUCCCCCUUCCCACUCGAAACUCACAGAUGUGAUAGAAUGCUAAAAACAGUAAAUAGUCAAGUUCAUCAUCAUGAAAUGGAAAUCUCCAAGAAACAAAGAAGGAGCUAGCAAGGAGCGGGAGAUAAAGACAGACGGCUAUCGGCUUUAAGAUCUAGAGACCAGGAUUUAAUCCCACAUAGGGACAGAAAACAAUGCCUCUAGGCAGUGGAAGAUGGGAAGCUGGUACUGAGCUCCAAUCUAAAUCUAGGCCCCACAGAAACACAACCAGUACAUGAAAUGAUAACUAGAAAACUUUAUCCCACAGCAAAGAUACAUGAGAAGAAAGCUCAUCUUUUAUGUGAGGUCAUGGGUGGAUACAGAGCCCCCUGGGAGCAAUCAAAAUCCAGGCCAGCUCCAUUCAUAGGCCGAAUUCAUAAUCUGUACAUGUGAGAGAAUUCAAGGGACAUACACUAAUAUAAAAAUUAAUCUGGAACUGGUGAAACUUUUAUAGCCUUAGCAGAGACAAAGGCAAGGAGAAAAUUAGGACAUUCAAAUAUAGAUCUCAAUAAAUCACCCAGAAUGCAGCACACAAAGAUAAAACAGUACAAAAUAUGAGAAGCUAGAAGACAUGGCAGAAAAAGGGAAAGUUUCAAAAUAUACCUAGAACGAAGUCCAUAAAGAGAGUCUAGAGAGAAUGAGGAAGGGACAAUAUUUGAAGAGAUAGUGGCGUGAAUUUUUCAACAACUGAUGCUAGACAUGAAUCCUUAAGCAGCAUAAAUAGAAGUAAAGCCAUAGCUUGAUACAUCUUAGGGAAGAGCACCAACUAUACCUAACACUAUAUUUUCAUGUGUUUAGGCUUUGGGAAAUCGAAAAGCCCUUCCAUAAACCUUUCCUGAAACAAGGAAUGGGAAAAUGGAAAAGUAAGAAAUAUUGUGGGAAACAGAAGAACAUAAGUUUAUAAAACAUACUAUUCUGUCAUAUAUGCACAUGUGUAAAUAUUUACAAUCUCUAGUGAAAUGGUAAAUCUUUUUUUAAGAAAAAGUAAGAAACUGUCUUCAAGGAAAGGAGGAUAUAGCACUCUCUUUCCAGGAUUUCAGUCAGAGGGUACGUGACAAUGUUUAACAGUUUUCUGUAUCUGUCAUCCCAUUCCUUCGUAAAUCAUUGCACAUUUUCUUCCUUCUGACUAUUCAGAGGUUUCUCUUGGGGACAUAUACAAAAUGAUCCCAUUGAGAAAUGGUAUCAGCUGUUAGUCAAGCCACAAUCUCUACCCAGCUUAAUCGUCCUGCUUUCUCCUGACACUAAAUUCUGAGGAUAGUUAUUUUAAAGCCACAGCUAAGGUAAUCAACAUACAAUAACAGUAGCUGGAGCAAUGUGCUAAUGUGAAAUAUCAGAGACUUGGAAGGGAUGGGGAAGACAGAUUGAGAGAGUAAGUAAAUUAUGCAUUACAGUCUAAAGAUACUUUCUUAAAAUCUUUAAUCCAUCACUUAGGUAGGCCUCUCUAGGUAUGUCUAAGAAACAGUAUGUGAAGCAAAAUGUUGAUACAGUGAAGAAAUACAGAAUCACAAAAUUGAUUUCAAUCAAUCCCAGUUUUGCCUAUCCCCCAAAAGACCUUCCUUGGAGUUUUCCAUUCUCCAAAUUUCUCCAGUCCCUCGUAGUAUUUCCAUAGGUGACAAUUCAUAUCCAUUGUCUGUGCAUUUCAAAAUUUAUAUUAUUUCUGACUGAAAUAGAACUAUAGAAAGAGUCAAAUAUCAUAUUUAGCAAAAAGCAAUAACAACACUGGAAGAAAUAAAAUUAAAACAGGAAAAAUAAUUUCUGGAAUUGAGAAACAUGAUUUUCAAAUUUAAAAACUCACACUAAAUGAAAGAGAUAAUGUCACUGUUGAAAAUUGAAUAAGCAGCCAAGGUGAUCAGGUGAAAAUUUAAACAAUAAAUGAAAAUGAUGAAGGAAAAGAUAAAUCUUGGAGGACGGAUCCAAAAGGCCCAAUACAUUAAUGAAUUUCUAGGACGAGGAAGAGAAACAGAUGGAAAAGUGAUAGGUAAAGAAAUUGUGAAGAAAAAUUUCUCUAAUCUAAAGAAAAUCUUGAGGUUGAACAAUAAAAAGAUACCCCAAGUUCCAGACACCAUUAGUUUUUAAAAGUUCAAAUGCCUAGAAGUAUCAUUAUAAAAUUCAUAAAUUCCAAUCACAGAGAAUAUUAUAAAAAAGAAGUUACAUAAAAAGGGAAAAUAUCCGACAGGUAAAUUAUUUUUACUUGCCAUCCUGGAGGUAAGAAAACAAGGAAAUAAUCUCCACACACUACUAAAAGGAAAGAGUAGUAACUCCAAAACUGUGUGCCCAACCUAGGUAAUCAUUACAAGUCAAGGUGAAGUAGGAUAUAUUCAAGCAUGCAAAGAUUCAGAGAGAAUACAAUCCAUGUCUAAAUUAUCACAGGUAGCAUUUAUUGAGCACUUAGUACUUGUCAGGUGCUGCUCUAAGCACUUUACAUAUCUUUACAUAUCAGCUCAGCAACCUUAUGAGAUAAUCCAAUUCUUAACUUCAUUUUCACAUAAAGAAAUUUAUAUAGACAGUGAUUUAAAACUCACCCAAGAAAAUACAGCUUUUAAAUAAAUAGCUUCUAACUCAGCCACUGUCAUUCUGAGAUCACAAAUUUAACCACUAUGUAUUGAAUGCUACUUGGACUUUGUAUAAAUGUUUCUAAAGGUUUCCUAUUUUUGGAGUUGGGGGCAGUGGGAAAAUAAGGUGCCUCAGUGGGUGGUAUAAUUAUCUCAUUUGGAUUCAACAGUAGAGAAACAUUGUUUGAUUUUGAGUGCUAGCAUUCAUGGAAUGAAGUGUGUAGAAAAGCAUAGUAAAUUUUCCAAAUUCACAAUAUAAUGAAUGUGUAAGAAUAGAAGUUUGAAUAAACUAAAAAAAAUAAAUUAGAGAAAGGAAAUGGGGGCUCGACAAAAUAAAAUUAAUAGUAAAAAUAAUAGGAACAUAAAACAAAAUGAAGAGAAUAAAAUCAAGGGUAUUAACUGUUGCACUAAAGGUAAAAGGGCACAGACCAUGAUAGUGAAUUAAAAAUCCAACUAUAUGUUCUUUACAAGAAACACACCUACAGCAUAGCAACAAAGAAAUGUUGAAACAGAUCAGUGAGUGAGGAGAUAUCAGGCAUAAGCAAGCAAAAAGAAAACAUGGUUGAAAAUAUUAAUAUAAGCCAAAGGAAGCUCUAAAACACAAUUUAAAUCAUUAUUUGUAUGAAUAAAAAUGGCACAACUAAAGAAAUUAUAAGUAAUACUUUUGUAUGUACCAAACAGCAUUGCAACUAAACAGAUAAAGCAAAAACUGUUAGAAUUACAAGGAGAACUUUAAUACACCUCUAUCGGAAUUUGACCAACCCAUUAGAUGAAAAGAUAAUCAAAGACAUAGAGGAUCUAAAUAAUCAACCAAUGAUAUUAACUCAAUAGAAAGAAAUUUGCAUGAUAUAAGGAGAGAAUGUGCAUCUUUUUUCUUACAUGUAUAAAACUUUUAACAAAUCGAUCAUGUCCUCAAAAACAUAAAAAUACAUUAAUAAAUUCCAAAAAGGAGAGAAUAUAUAGGCAUAUCCUCUUAACAAAAUAAAAUUAGAAAUUAAUAAUAAAAAUGAUCAUAGUAAUUGCCUGAUAAUAUAGCAAUAUUCUCCAAAAUAACCCCUACGUCAAAAAGAAAAUUAAAAAUAAAAUUGCAAGUUAUAUGGAAAGCAAAGAAAAAGAGAACACAUCAUAUCAAACUGUACUGUGGCAUGGCUGAAGAUAUACCCAGAGAAAAACCCAUAGUCAUAAUUACCAUUAUUAUUCAAUAAAACCAUAAAUAAAAGAAAUACACACUCUUCUUGAAGAAAUUCAAAAGCACGAGAGAAAUAAUCCAAAGGCAGUAGAAGAAAUUAGUAAAAUUAAAGUUUAAGAUAAUGACCAAAAAAGCCAAUUGUAAAAGUGAUAAAUAGUGCUCGCUUCGGCAGCACAUAUACUAAAAUUGUAACGAUACAGAGAAGAUUAGCAUGGCCCCCGCGCAAGGAUGACACGCAAAUUCGUGAAGCAUUCCAUAUAUUUUUGAACAAUGAGAACACAUGGACACAGGGAAGGGAACAUCACACCGGGUCCUGUUAGUGGGUGGGUGGCUAGGGGAGGGAUAACAUCAGGAGAAAUACCUAAUGUAGGUGACAGGUUGAUGGGUGCAGCAAACCACCAUGGCACGUGUAUACCUAUGAAACAAAACUGCAGAUUCUGCACAUGUAACCCAGAACUUAAAGUGUAAUUUAAAAAGUGAUAAAAAGUUGGUUUUUUUUAAAUCACCAAUAAAAUACAUAAACAUCAUGAGUAUGACUAAGAAAACACAGGGAAAGCAAAAGCAUACAAAUUAUGAUUAAAGGGUUGAACCACACAAAUAGAUGUGAUUAUUAUAAAUCACAUGAGUAAUUUAUUAUUAUAUUAUAAUUAUUAUUAUUAUAAUUUUACACACAAACAUAUGACAUCAAAAUUGAAAAUCUAAAGAUAACAUAUAAUUUCCUAAUAGAAUAGAAGUUACCAACAUUAACUCAAGAAAUAGAAAAUUUGACUAGAACAAUUACUACAGAUGAGAUCGGAAAUGUGUUUGUAGAUUUACCAUUGUAAAACAAACCAAAAGUUUUGCAGUUGGGUUCUAACUAACCUUUAAGGAAAAGAUAAUACCAAUGUUAUCUAAACUCUACCAGAAAACAGGAAAAAAUGGAAAGUUCACUAAUGAUUUUAUAAAGCUAGCAAAGCUGAGACCAAAAUCUGUUAAAGAUAGUACAUAAAAAGGUAACUAUAAGCAGUUAUCAAUGAUAAACAUAAAAAAAAUAAAAUAUUAACAAACUCUAAAAUAUGUAGACAAACAGAUCUCAGAAGUAUAGCAAGAAAAAAACUGUACUAUUACCUGAUAGGGAUAGAUCCACAAAGGCAAAAAUAAAUAGUCAAACACCAAAUUCUUUUUUGUUUUUUGUUUUGUUUUGUUUUUGUUUUUGAGACAGGUCUCACUCUGUCACCCAAGCUAGAGUUCAAUGGCACAAUCACGGCUCACUGUAGCCUCGACCUCUCAGGCUCAGGUGAUCCUCCCACCUCGGCUUCCCAGAUAGCUGGGACUACAGGCUGAAUUCUCUUUUCUAAAAAAGUUUUUUUUCUAUGUGCGUUUUGAGACAGAUAGUGUCUUUUUUCCCCCAGGAAUUCUAUCAAUAUAAUUAAUUACAUAAAAUAUUUGGGAAGGCCGAGGUGAGUGGAUCACCUGAGGUCAGGAGUUCAAGGCCAGCCUGACCAACAUGGAGAAACCCCAUCUCUACUAAAAAUACAAAAUUAGCUGGGCGUGGUGGUGCAUGCCUGUAAUCCCAGCUACUUGGGAGGCUGAGGCAAGAGAAUUGCUUGAACCCGAGAGGUGGAGGUUGCCGUGAGCUGGGAUCGCACCAUUGUACUCCAUCCUGGGUGACAAAAGCGAAGCUCUGUCUCAAAAAAAAAAAAAAAAUUAAAGGAGAAAAAGUGCAUGAUUCUGUUAAUAGAUGUUGAAAAGCCACUAGGGAAAAAAUCAGCAGCUAAUCCUAACAGACACUAAUAGAAAUAGAAGGGGAUGACUUAAAUAUUAAAAGCACUUUUUACCAACAAUCAACAGCAAUCCUCAUUCAGACCAUGAAAUGCCAAAGUAAUUCCCACUAAAACCAGAAACGAGUCACUGUUACUCACAAUUUCCAUUCUUAUUCAAGUGUUUUUUGAGAUUAUAACUAUUGCAAUAAGAUAAGAAAUAGUGUAAAAUUGGGAAAAGAUAAAAUUAAUUUAUAUUUACAACUGAUAAUGAUUGUAUUCUUCUAAAAAACAAGGGACUAUUUAAAAAUUAGAAAGUCAAUCAGCAAAUUAGAAAAGGUGGUGGAACAUAAGAAAUAUUUUUUAAAUCAACAGCUUUUCUCUAUUCUAGCAAGUUUUUAGAGUAUUACACUAUAGAGCCCAUGUGUCAACAUUAUUCUUUUAUUUCUUUUGAUUAAAAGAACAUGUAUCACUCGUAAAUGACUAUCAUCUAUCUAUCAAACUCAUCAAACUAGUGCAUAGAAUGAUUGCAUCAAUUGCUAGUUCAACCAAUUGUAUCAGUCUCAAUGUCCCUCUGACACUUAUUUUAUUUUUUAUUACACUAUUAUAUGAUUUACUAUUUUUUCCAUUUGUACCCAAGUUUAUUUUAUAAAUUUAAACUAUUUCACCAUGUUUGAUAAGCAUAUUACUUUAUCUUGUAAGUGUCCACCAAAAUGUCUUAACUCAUAGUGCCUAAACCCUCUAUAUCUGACAAUUCAUUCUAUGCUUCAAAAAGAUCAGUUUCUUAUCUUUGGUUCCAAGCACACAUGAUAAUAUAUAAUAACUGUCUUGUUGGAAGACUGGAAUAGCCAGUAGACUUUCAAACUCUCAAGUACACUGAUUAGAUUACUCACUGUCAUGUGUCCUAGGACAACAUUAAGGUUUUUUUUUUUUUGAAAACUUAAUUUUAAUGUUUAUUUUUUGGGGGUACAUAGUAAGUGUGUAUAUUAUGGGAUAAAUGUAAUGUUUUGAUACAGGCAUGCAAUGUGAAAUAAGCACAUCAUGGAGAAUGAGGCAUCCAUCCCCUCAAGCAUUUAUCCUUUAAGUUACAAGCAAUCCAAUUACACUCUUUGAGUUAUUUUAGAAUGUACAAUUAAGUUAUUAUUGACUAUAGUUGGAAAAACCUAAGAUUGCUUUCAAUGAAGUGUUGUCACAUUCACUUAGGCCACUUAUUAGACUACCUUUUACAAACUGUGACAAUUUUGGUAAGAAUGUCAAGAAUAUGAAAUCCUUGAACAUUGUUGGUGGGAAUGUAAAUUAGUACAGCCAUUUUGGAAAAGAGUAUGGAGGCCCCUCAAAAAACUAAAAUUUUAAUUACCAUAUUAUCCAGCAAUCCCACUUCUGCAUAUAUAUUCAAAGGAAUUGAAAUCAGUGUAUCAAAGAGAUAUCUUCACUCCCAUGUUCAUUGCAGCAUUAUUCACAAUAGCCAAGAUGUGGAAUCAACCUAAGUGUCCAUCAUUGGAUGGAUAAAGAAAAUGUGGCACAUGCAAAUGGAAAUACAAUGGAAACAAUGCAGCCUUUAAAAAGAAGAAAAUUCUAGCCAGCCGGGUGUACUGGCACUGGCCUGUAGUCCUAGCUAAUUCAGAGGCUGGGGUGGGAGGAUCUCUUGAGCCCAGGAGUUCGAUACCAGCAUGGGCAACGUAAUGAGACUCUUAUGUCUUAUGUCUCUUAAAAAAAAAAAAGAAGGAAAAUUUGUCAGUUGCAACAUUUGCAAUAACAUGUUAAUCUAGAAAACAUUGUACUAGGUGAAAUAAGUCAGGCACAAAAAGACAAAUAAUGCAUGAUCUCACUUAUAUGUGGAAUCUUAAAAAGUCGAAUUCAUAGAAGUAGAGUAGAAUGGUAGUUACCACGGGAUGGGGGUAAGGGGAGGCACAAGGAAAGGAGAGAUGUUUCUUAAAGGGCACAAAGUUUCAGUUAGACAAAUGGAUUAAGUUCUAGUAGCCUAUUUCAUUGCAUGGGGACUAUACUUAAUAAUAACAUAUUGUAUAUUCCAAAAUUGCUUAAAAAGUAGAUUUUAAGUGUUCCCACCACAAAAGAUUAGUAUGUUAGGUGUUGUAUGUUAAUAGGCCUGUUUUAAUCAUUCCACAAUGUAUUCAUGUAUCAUAACAUGAUACUGUACUCCAUAAAUACAUACUUUUUAUUAUUCGUCAUUUUUUUAAAAAUAUAAUUUAAAAAAUUAAUCACACUGCUAAAAAAAAGUAUAUUUCUCUUAAACUCUUUUUGAUAGCCAAUUUGAUCAUAUAUGUUAAUAGUCAUAAAACUACCACCCACCGAUGCUCUACCUCUGCUAAAGGAGCAUCUGGGCAGACAAAAUUUAUAAUUGUGUCCAGGGAGAAAUGUGCUGCAUCUCUUGAAUACAAGAAUUGGAUUUCAGCAAUAACUUUAUCCUCACAGUGGAGAUGGAUCCACCAAGUUCUCCUACUUUGAGGGCACCCUGUCAGAAUAAAGUUACCUCUCUGAUAAGGCUUCCUUCACUCCCUUCUCCCCUCUCCCUCCUCUCCCAUCUAUCCCCUAAAGCAUACAUUGCCCAAGCCCUUAGCACAAUACCUGAGAGGGCCCCAGUGGAGAGGGUCAAGCACUGAGCUAUGCCACUCAGAUAAGUAAAUAUUACUUAUCCUGCUAAUACCAUACCCUCGGGGCAGGGCAGAUAAGGGACCCCAGGAUGGUGGUGACACGGCUCUGGCUUAAAAGCAAGAAAGAGCCAUGGUUUAAACAGAAAAACCGGAAAAAAAUCUUCAGCCUGGGAUGCGAUGCAAAAUAAAUGUAAAAAGCUAGCAUUGAAAAUAGUAUGAAUCAUUAUCUAAAAGGCCAUUCUCAAGGGAACUUAGCAAAGAAAUUAAUGAAAGAGAGCCAUAAACAUAAAAUUUGCCUGAACCACAUCAAUUUGCUAAGCCUACACUUGGAAUCUCUUUUGAAAAAAGACAGGUAAAAUGUGAAUUUUUCAAAAAAGAAAAUCCAUUUCCUGAGCCUUGAAAUAUUAUGUAUAUUGGCUGACAAUUUACAACAGAACAACACUCCACUUUUGUAAAAUCGCCUUUGAACAUGUUUGCACUGGGAUAGAUCCACUUAUAUUCCUAAAACUGUUAGAUGAGAACAAAACCAAAAUAGCAGGACAUCCUCUGAGUUUCUGGUUUCCUUGGUUUCCCAGAAGCUGCCAUCCUCUCUAAAGAGAAGACACUGCCUCCUCCAUGUGCCAAUGGGCUGCCAUAAUCAGCUACAAUCCUAGAACUCUGCCCCUUCCAAAAGGAUUGAGAGUGACAACCUCCUAUGUGAAAACAUUGGGACAUCAACCUGUGACCUGGCUGCCUGGACCAAGCAGUCACACAUCUAUCUCAUACACCUUUCCCAGACUCCGGGUUAUUCAGUCUAAAUAAGACCGGGUACAGGACAUCAAAAAUUCAUGCAGUGCACAUGUGGCCGUGACAAGUUAAGACUAGUUCCUUCUCAGUCUCUUUUUGUCCAACAAAGGUUCCAAAAAUUCUUGGCAUCCAGUCACACCCAGGGUCAACUUAUGACCAGAGCAAUGACAGUUAUUAUUCUGUAUUAAAUGCCCACUGAUACAUGGCAUGGCGUCAUGGGAAUUGAAGGGUCAGAGAAGCCCAGAGAGGCUACCACCAAUGAUCUCCCAGAAGGAUAAAAUAAAGAAAAGUAGGAGGAAGGAAGUGGAAAGAAGAAUGAGAAGGAACAAAGGAAUGGGGAAAGGAGCAGAUGGGUGCUAGUCAGGCCUAUACCUGCCUCACUGGGGAUUUUUACUACUCGAGUUAGCCUCAUUUUCACCCCAGGUGUAAAAGUCGCUCCGCAUCUCAAGUUCAACAUGGCUUGAUCUGGAUUUUUGUUAGAUGUUCAAGCUACAUAUCUGGGUCAAGGCACAAGUUUGUACUCAUCAACUCUAUUUUUUCAAGUAUUAUAUCUCCAAUGAAUAUUAUUCUUUUUUUGAGGAAAAAAGUUUUAAAUCAGGCACUGAAAAUUUUUCAAUAGUAUGAUCCAAUUUUAUGUAAAGAAUAUAUAAGUAUAUGAAUAGUAAAAGUGUCUGGAAGGGUAUACAUUGUUUCAAUUCUGUGCUUCUCU